This 1302-nucleotide long non-coding RNA is filed under the name Dromaius novaehollandiae (emu). RNAcentral's name for it is "lncRNA (ENSDNVG00000004120.1)". Lineage: Eukaryota; Metazoa; Chordata; Aves; Casuariiformes; Dromaiidae. The record is from RNAcentral.
AGGCUACCCUUCUCUUUUGCAAUGAUUAAGUUACCAAAAGGCAAACAGAAGGGUGAAGUUAGGGCUUUGCAUACGCUGUAUGUGGGCUAUAUUUUAUUCAUUUUGUGUUUUGCUAGAAUCAGAAGUCUGCCGGAGGUUCUAGCUGCAAAUCUAAAUUAUUUAAGACGCUGUUUAAUUCUGGAUGUGGGGAAAUGACCCAUUGCGUGCUAACUGGAAUAUGAAAACGGCYGCCCAACCGGGCGGGCGCGAUGCACCCCGAUUGCGUGCUCCUAACGCCCGYGGGCCGCUUCGGAGGUCCCUCUUCUGGCGUUGCUUGCGGGGACGUGGUGCAAAGCUGACGCUCGCCUUUUCUGCUCCCCGCAGACCCCCCGGCCGUGGAGCCGACCUUCCUGGAGAUCAGGCAGGGCCAAGGCCGAAGCGUCACCAUGAGCUGCCGGGUGCUGCGAGCGUAUCCCACCCGGGUGCUGACCUACGAGUGGCGCCUGGGCGGCAAGCUGCUGCGGACGGGCCAGUUCGACGUGCAGGACUCGACGGAGUACGCCGUGGGCAGCCUCUCGCGGGACAGCUACGGCGUCUACAACUGCAACAUCAUCAACGAGGCGGGGGCCGGCCGGUGCAGCUUCCUGGUCACAGGCAAGGCGUACGCUCCGGAGUUUUACUACGACACCUACAACCCGCUGUGGCAGAACCGGCCCCGCGUUUACUCCUACAGCCUCCAGUGGACCCAGAUGAACCCCGACGCCGUGGACCGCAUCCUCGCGUACCGCCUGGGCAUCCGGCAGGUGAGGAGAGCGGUCGGCUGGGACGGGGAGCGCGCGGACCUCCGCCAGAGCCGCCUGCCCUUCUGGCUUUUGUUUUUUCCCCCCUGUUUCAUCCUGUUUGGAUUUGCUGCCGAAUUGCAGAGGCGUCCGCUGCCGCUCGCCGGUCCUGGAAACCCACUUGCACGUUUGCAGUGCGGAGCCGGCGCCUCGAGGGACUGCGCAGGAGAAACUUGCAGAGAAAUCUAACUUCUAUCUCUCUAUCUAUAUAUCUUUUAUUAUGUCUUCCACGUAAGUAGAUAAAUAUAGCAAGAAACAUAGCUUUCGUACAGAAACAUGUGAUCCCUGAGAACUGAGAAACCUCCCAUAACCGCGUUAAAGCCCGUCGCGCUUGCAUCAUCGUAGGAUUGGCUUUGGACUUUCAAAGGACAUUCGCUACUGUUAAAAAAGCACGGUACCACGCUGUUUGCAGAGGAACUGUUAAAUUAACAUAGUAGUCAACAUUAAUUUACCGUUCAGCAAUUUUUAAGGAAAAAUGUUAUCU